This 376-nucleotide ribosomal RNA is filed under the name uncultured bacterium. RNAcentral describes it as "bacterial SSU rRNA". It matches the Rfam family "Bacterial small subunit ribosomal RNA", at positions 524 to 898 of the family's 1533-position model. The record is from RNAcentral.
UACGUAGGGGGCAAGCGUUGUCCGGAAUUAUUGGGCGUAAAGCGCGCGCAGGCGGUCUAGUAAGUCUGAUGUGAAAGCCCACGGCUCAACCGUGGAGGGUCAUUGGAAACUGUUAGACUUGAGUAUAGGAGAGGAAAGUGGACUUCCAUGUGUAGCGGUGAAAUGCGUAGAUAUAUGGAGGAACACCAGUGGCGAAGGCGACUUUCUGGCCUAUGUCUGACGCUGAGGCGCGAAAGCGUGGGGAGCAAACAGGAGUAGAUACCCUGGUAGUCCACGCCGUAAACGAUGAGUGCUAGGUGUUAGGGGUUUCGAUGCCCUUAGUGCCGCAGCAAACGCAAUAAGCACUCCGCCUGGGGAGUACGGCCGCAAGGCUGAA